AGCAGCCGCGGUAAUUCCAGCUCCAAUAGCGUAUAUUAAAGUUGUUGCAGUUAAAAAGCUCGUAGUUGAAUUUCGGGAUUUGUCAGUUGGUCGGGCUUCACUGUCCGUACUGACUUGAUGGAUUCUUACCUUCUGAAUAACCAGCAUGCUAUUAAGUUAGUGCGUUGGGGAAGCAGAUCUAUUACCUUGAAAAAAUUAGAGUGCUUAAAGCGGGCUAGUGCUUGAAUAGAUUAGCAUGGAAUAAUAAAAUAGGACGGCAUGGUUCUAUUUUGUUGGUUUCUAGGAUCACCGUAAUGAUUAAUAGGGAUAGUUGGGGGCAUUAGUAUUCAAUUGUCAGAGGUGAAAUUCUUGGAUUUAUUGAAGACUAACUUCUGCGAAAGCAUUUGCCAAGGAUGUUUUCAUUAAUCAAGAACGAAAGUUAGGGGAUCGAAGACGAUCAGAUACCGUCGUAGUCUUAACCAUAAACUAUGCCGACUAGGAAUCGGACGAAGUUAAUUUUAUAAUGACUCGUUCGGCUACC
This 520-nucleotide ribosomal RNA is filed under the name uncultured Acaulospora. Its description in RNAcentral is "SSU rRNA". It matches the Rfam family "Eukaryotic small subunit ribosomal RNA", at positions 569 to 1088 of the family's 1831-position model. The record is from RNAcentral. Lineage: Eukaryota; Fungi; Glomeromycota; Glomeromycetes; Diversisporales; Acaulosporaceae.